RNAcentral lists this unclassified non-coding RNA (786 nucleotides) under Hevea brasiliensis (rubber tree). The record is from RNAcentral. Lineage: Eukaryota; Viridiplantae; Streptophyta; Magnoliopsida; Malpighiales; Euphorbiaceae.
GUUGAGUUGAGUUGAGUUGAGUGUCUACUUGGUUGAUGAGCCUGCUUUUAGGCUCUCAAUUGUUGAAUUGACGUGUUUGGUAAGUAUGACAUUUAGAACAACUUCUAAAAAAAAUCAAUGGUAAGCAGUUCACAUUAUAAUAGAGCUGGGAUUUAAAAAUGUCAGCUUUGGCCCUUCAACUGUUGGCUAUUAACUGCCAAUUAUUGACUGCAAAUGUUGAACCAAGCAAGCAUCUUUUUUACAUUAUAAGGAUGUUUAUUACAUUUUUUUUCUUGUUUGUGAAUACAUAUCUUUUUAAUCACUUUGCAAUGCAGCAGUGAACUGCUAACCAACCUAAUAGCCUAGUAACCAAGUCCCUUCACCUAUUCAAUGUCACAUCCUAGCUCAAAAACUAUGAUAUAAUAUAGAAUACAGAGGCAUUUCUAUAUUUGUAAUUCCUCAUCCAGCCAAAGAGUUCACUGCUUCUUAUAUAGUACAUUAUUGUGUCAACUUAAGAUCUCAAAAAAUUCACUAAUCUGCAUAAUCUAUUAACAAUCGAUUUAUAUACAGUGUGACUGCUAGUUGUGCAAUUUACAGCUUUCUCCAGUGUGGCAAUCAUGCAUAUCAAGAUAUUUCUUCCGUGAUUCAAUUGUUCAGAACAACAUUUCAAAAAUUUAAAAGAAUAACAAUAUUUUUUUGAUAAAAAAUUGAAAUUUAGAUGUAAUUUCAUCAAAUAACAAAAGAGUAUAGCACAGUAACUUGCAAAUUUUCAGGAAAUGAAAGAGUCACUCACAGCAAUUGUGCAAG